This 347-nucleotide ribosomal RNA is filed under the name uncultured eukaryote. RNAcentral's name for it is "SSU rRNA". It matches the Rfam family "Eukaryotic small subunit ribosomal RNA", at positions 594 to 945 of the family's 1831-position model. The record is from RNAcentral.
AUAGCGUAUAUUAAAGUUGUUGCAGUUAAAAAGCUCGUAGUUGAAUUUCGGGAUCAAUAUGCUGGUCGUGCCAUUGGUACGUACUAGUAUUAUUGGUUUCUCCUUUCUGAUGAAUCAUGAUGUCAUUAAUUUGAUGUCAUGAGGAAUCAGGACUGUUACUUUGAAAAAAUUAGAGUGUUUAAAGCAGGCUCGCGCUUGAAUACAUUAGCAUGGAAUAAUGAAAUAGGAUGUUUGAUUCUAUUUUGUUGGUUUCUAGGAUUGACGUAAUGAUUAAUAGGGAUAGUUGGGGGCAUUAGUAUUCAAUUGUCAGAGGUGAAAUUCUUGGAUUUAUUGAAGACUAACUACUG